UACGGAGGGGGCUAGCGUUGUUCGGAAUUACUGGGCGUAAAGCGCACGUAGGCGGAUUUGUAAGUCAGGGGUGAAAUCCCGGGGCUCAACCUCGGAACUGCCUUUGAUACUGCAAAUCUCGAGUCCGGAAGAGGUGAGUGGAAUUCCUAGUGUAGAAGUGAAAUUCGUAGAUAUUAGGAAGAACACCAGUGGCGAAGGCGGCUCACUGGUCCGGUACUGACGCUGAGGUGCGAAAGCGUGGGGAGCAAACAGG
This 253-nucleotide ribosomal RNA is filed under the name uncultured bacterium. Its description in RNAcentral is "partial 16S ribosomal RNA". It matches the Rfam family "Bacterial small subunit ribosomal RNA", at positions 524 to 776 of the family's 1533-position model. The record is from RNAcentral.